CAUAGAAUUUAGAGGGAGUGACGGAACUAGUAUGACCGCUUAACUUUGUUGCUGUAACAUUGAAUAUUCAAUAUCUUCGUGCGUCUCUUCUGUUUUGCAACGAUGGAUCUUCGUUCCGGACAGGUCGUAUUCUUCCUGAUUCUUGGCAUAUCUUUCAUUUGGGCUGCUAGUAGCAAACCCUCAGGUAAUAGUUGCUCGAAGAAGAAGAAAGAUCCAAGUAGAAUUACGCUUAGCCAAGGCAUUGAGACUUAUCCUUUUUUUCAAAAAUCUGUAAAUCGUCGUAGUAUUGAAAACAAUCCAUUCUUGCGCAUCCCUGAUAACAAAAAUCAAACCGGCAAUCCAUUCUUUCAUAUCCCUGACAACACAAACCAGGCCGGCAAUCCAUUCUUGUAUAUCCCCGAUAACAAAAACCAAUCUACCAAUCUAUUCUCGCAAAUUCCCGAUAGCAAAACUCGAUCUGGCAAUCCAUUCUUGCAAAUUCUCGAUAACAAAAACCAACCUGGCAAUGCAAGUAUUGACCAGACGCGCAAGAAUAUAAAUUUAAAUAUUAUUUUUAACAGUAAUAAUCCCUUUUUAUUCAACUUUACUAACCCAAGAAUCAAUACUGAAACUACUUCUACUGCACCUUUCACGCAAGCAUCUCACAAAUCAACUUACGCACCAGAAUUAGUUACUCCAACAUCGCUCACAUCACUACCAACCACUGAUAGAUCUCAUCUGAUAAUUUCUCCUAUUAAAGUUGAGCCUCCAACCUCAAGCGGUCCAUUGCUGUCUUCCUUCCAGAUUGGCCCAGUAAAGACGAUAUCAGAACAAAAAUGUGACGAAUACGUAAGGGAGAUUGUAGGUAUAACUGAAAUAAUGCCUUUAGUCGGCACAUCAUUCGACGUGAUUCAGGUGAAUAAUGUCUGUUACAAUGAGAACAAGUUAGUGAUAGGAGGUACCGAGGCGAAGAAAGGCGAGUUUCCUCACAUGGUCGCUUUGGGAAAACGUAACUCUGAUGAAACAUUCAUUCUAAUAUGCGGCGGCACUCUGAUUUCUCACACCUGGGUACUUUCUGCUGCACAUUGCACUUAUGGGCCAAAUGGCAGUCCGUCUAUUGUUCGAGUAGGCUUCCUCACACUGACGGAUAAACAAUUCGGCGCUACUUUUGACAUUAAGAAUAUGAUACGACAUCCGAAUUACAGACCACCCGCAAUGUACGCAGAUAUAGCUUUAAUCGAACUUGCGAGCGCUGUUACAUUCAGCGAGUUAAUACGGCCCGCGUGCCUCUAUCAGCAGUACGACACCGUGCCCAUGAGCGCCUGGAUUAGCGGCUGGGGCGUUACCGAAUAUGCUGGAGAACAAACUGAUCGACUGCAGAAGGCCCAGCUGAAUCUGAUUGAUAAUCUAGUGUGCGCGAUACGGCAUAACAGUUCCACGGAAGUUCCGUAUGGUGUCACGCCAAGCAUGAUUUGUGCCGGUGAUCCUCACGGCGGCUGGACCAAAGACUCCUGCCAAGGUGAUUCCGGCGGUCCUCUGCAAGUGAUCCAUCCUAAGAAUCAGUGUCUCUUCCAAGUGAUUGGCAUCACCAGUUUCGGCCAAGGCUGCGCGAUUACCGAUAUACCUGGUGUUUACACCAGAGUGUCCCAUUACCUUACCUGGAUAGAAAAUAUCGUCUGGCCGCAAAAUCAAUAAUUGUGAUUUAAUCAACUUAAUUAAAAGCGCAAUAUUUAAUCUGCUGAAUAAUUCCGGACUUUCAGAGAGAUGUCGUUUGUGCUCCAAUUAUUGCCCGUUAAAACAGUAGUUGUGUGUAUGAACCCAAAAGUUGUAAACAAAAAAAAAACACUGAACGGAAUACAGGAUUGACGAUUGGAUAUUUUGAAUAUCAGAAAAAUCAAGAGAUU
Pseudomyrmex gracilis is the source of this 1883-nucleotide RNA transcript. It is a transcript of the gene named serine protease snake-like, with no coding region annotated. NCBI's taxonomy places the organism in Eukaryota, Metazoa, Arthropoda, Insecta, Hymenoptera, Formicidae. The record is from RefSeq and is a predicted model, not a curated record. The transcript has 7 exons.